GGAGUAAAGCCUAGUGGAGUAAAGCCUAGUGAAGUAAAGCCUAAUGGAGUAAAGCCUAGUGGAGUAAAGCCUAGUGACGUAAAGCCUAGUGAAGUAAAGCCUAGUGGAGUAAAGUCCAGUGGAUCGGGCCCCGUGUGUUUUUGGUUCACUGGGUUUCCGGUCGUAAACAGAAGUGGCUUCAAUCAGCCGACGUGGAGCGGCAGCUACAAGGUCCACUUCCUGCUCUGCGGCUGCUCACCCCCCCCCGCCUCCUCGCCACGAGAUGCUAUCAACACACGCUGAAAGGAACAGGAAGUGUUCCGCCUGCCGUCGCCAUGGCGACAGC
Molecule: long non-coding RNA, 325 nt
Organism: Gadus macrocephalus (Pacific cod)
Lineage: Eukaryota; Metazoa; Chordata; Actinopteri; Gadiformes; Gadidae
Exons: 2
Source: RefSeq, a predicted model, not a curated record